This 253-nucleotide ribosomal RNA is filed under the name uncultured bacterium. Its description in RNAcentral is "partial 16S ribosomal RNA". It matches the Rfam family "Bacterial small subunit ribosomal RNA", at positions 524 to 776 of the family's 1533-position model. The record is from RNAcentral.
UACGGAGGGGGCUAGCGUUGUUCGGAAUUACUGGGCGUAAAGCGCGCGUAGGCGGACCUGCAAGUCGGGGGUGAAAGCCCGAGGCUCAACCUCGGAACUGCCUUCGAUACUGCGGGUCUCGAGUCCGGGAGAGGUGAGUGGAAUUCCUAGUGUAGAGGUGAAAUUCGUAGAUAUUCGGAGGAACACCAGUGGCGAAGGCGGCUCACUGGUCCGGAACUGACGCUGAGGUGCGAAAGCGUGGGGAGCAAACAGG